AGUAGGCCGGAAUCGUAUCAAAUCAAUCCCUGCACAAUAGUAGGCUGGAAUCGCAUCUCCAAAUCAAGCUAGAGAAAUUGCACCGGACAUGUGCUCCAACUAACAAAUUACUUAGCUUGCCCGUUUCUUCAAGUUCAAUCUACCGCGCGCGAGAUACAGGUGUUGCUGCUACUCUCCGAUCCAACCAGACACAUAGCCGCGUGAUAGCCACGUGUCAUCCCUGCCCAAUCUGUUUCCAAUAGUAUUAUGGUUACUUCUAGUAGCUUCUUGAAGGUUUUUUCAAACCCCUAACAUGCUUAAUCAUUUAUUUCGUAUAAUUUCAAACAUGUUAGUUGUUGUUCAACUUUGAUGAAUAAUUUUAAACAUGUUAUUUCAAAUAA
This is a long non-coding RNA of Populus euphratica (Euphrates poplar), 380 nucleotides long. RefSeq lists it as uncharacterized. Lineage: Eukaryota; Viridiplantae; Streptophyta; Magnoliopsida; Malpighiales; Salicaceae. The transcript is spliced from 2 exons. The record is from RefSeq and is a predicted model, not a curated record.